UACGGAGGGGGCUAGCGUUGUUCGGAAUUACUGGGCGUAAAGCGUACGUAGGCGGCUUUGUAAGUUAGAGGUGAAAGCCCGGGGCUCAACCCCGGAAUUGCCUUUAAGACUGCAUCGCUUGAAUCGCGGAGAGGUGAGUGGAAUUCCGAGUGUAGAGGUGAAAUUCGUAGAUAUUCGCAAGAACACCAGUGGCGAAGGCGGCUCACUGGCCCGAUACUGACGCUGAGGCACGAAAGCGUGGGGAGCAAACAGG
RNAcentral lists this ribosomal RNA (253 nucleotides) under uncultured bacterium. RNAcentral describes it as "partial 16S ribosomal RNA". It matches the Rfam family "Bacterial small subunit ribosomal RNA", at positions 524 to 776 of the family's 1533-position model. The record is from RNAcentral.